AUUGAACGCUGGCGGCAGGCCUAAUACAUGCAAGUCGAACGAGUGGCGGACGGGUGCGUACUGUCUGGGAAACUGCCUGUUGCAGGGGGAUCACUACUGGAAAAGGUAGCUAAUAACGCAUACCAUCCGCUUUCCCCAGUGGGGAUUAGCUAGUCGGUGGGGUAACGGCUUACCUAGGCGACGAUCCCUAGCUGGUCUGCGAGGAUGACCAGCCAAACUGGAACGGAGACACGGUCCAGACUCCGACGGGAGGCAGAAGUGGGGAAUAUUGCACAAUGGGCGCAAGCCUGAUGGAGCCAUGCCGCGUGAAUGAAGAAGGCCUUCGGGUUGUAAAGUACUUUCAGCGGGGAAGCGUUACCCGCAGAAGAAGCACCGGCUAACUCCGUGCCAGCAGCCGCGGUAAUUC
This 406-nucleotide ribosomal RNA is filed under the name uncultured bacterium. RNAcentral describes it as "partial 16S ribosomal RNA". It matches the Rfam family "Bacterial small subunit ribosomal RNA", at positions 30 to 526 of the family's 1533-position model. The record is from RNAcentral.